This is an RNA transcript of Cuculus canorus (common cuckoo), 7202 nucleotides long. It is a transcript of the gene named contactin associated protein family member 5, with no coding region annotated. The record is from RefSeq and is a predicted model, not a curated record. The transcript has 25 exons. NCBI's taxonomy places the organism in Eukaryota, Metazoa, Chordata, Aves, Cuculiformes, Cuculidae.
AGGUGAAUCGCCGCGGCAGCAGCCGUGGGAGCGGGCUGGGCUCGGGCGCUGCCGCCUCAAGGGCCGCCGAGGAAGGGUCCCUCGGCCGCUCCCGGCUCCGGCUCCCCCCUGGAUGCUGGACGGAGUAAAUGAGCGGAGGAAGAGCGAGCGCACGGAGGCUGAGAGGCGCUCGGAGACCGGGACCCGGGGAGACGGGCGGGCGGCUGGCAUCCCCCGCCGGGGCUCAGCAUGGAUUCCCGAGCGCUCGGGGGCUUCGCUCUGCUGCUCUUCAGUUUUUGGCACCUGGGAUUAACUGCCACAAAUUAUAAUUGUGAUGAUGCAUUGGUAUCUCCCUUGCCUUCAACAGCACUUACCAGUUCCUCUGAGCUCUUCAGUACUCACAGUCCCAGCUUUGCAAAACUCAACAGGAGAGAUGGAGCUGGUGGCUGGUCUCCGCUAGACUCAAAUGAGCAGCAGUGGCUCCAGGUUGAUCUGGGAGACAGAGUGGAGAUUGUUGCGGUCGCUACCCAGGGCAGAUACGGGAGCUCUGACUGGGUGACCAGCUAUACGCUGAUGUUCAGUGACACUGGCCGAAACUGGAAACAGUACAGACAAGAUGACACCAUCUGGGUUUUCACAGGGAACAGCAAUGCUGACAGUGUGGUUCACCACAAAUUUCUGCACUCCGUGAAAGCCCGCUUCUUGCGCUUUGUCCCUCUGAAGUGGAAUGUUGGUGGUCGGAUAGGACUGAGGGUUGAGGUCUUCGGCUGCUCCUAUAAGUCAGAUAUUGCAGACUUCAAUGGCAGAAGUUCACUCCUCUACAGGUUCAAUCAGAAGCUUAUGAGCACAUUCAAAGAUGUGGUUUCCUUGAAGUUCAAGAGUAUGCAGGGGGAUGGAGUCUUGUUCCAUGGAGAAGGACAGCGUGGAGACUACAUUACCUUGGAACUGCAGAAAGGAAAGCUCUCCUUGCACAUCAACCUGGGGGACUCCAACCUCCACUUCAGUAAUAGCCACACAUCCAUCACCCUGGGCAGCCUCCUGGACGACCAGCACUGGCACUCGGUUCUCAUAGAGCGCUUCAACAAGCAAGUGAACUUCACAGUGGACAAACACACCCAGCAUUUCCGAACAAAGGGGGAUUCAGAUCACUUGGAUAUUGAUUAUGAGCUCAGUUUCGGAGGGAUUCCUGUCCCAGGAAAGCCAGGAACCUUUCAAAGGAAAAAUUUCCAUGGAUGCAUUGAGAACCUUUAUUACAACGGAGUCAAUAUAAUUGACCUGGCAAAAAGGCGCAAACCUCAGAUCUAUACUGUGGGGAAUGUUACCUUUUCCUGCUCAGAACCACAAGUUGUUCCUAUCACCUUUCUUAGUGCCAAUCGAAGUUUCUUGCAACUACCUGGUACUCCUCAAAUUGAUGGUUUGUCAGUCAGCUUCCAGUUUCGAACAUGGAAUAAAGACGGCUUACUUAUGUUCACUGAAUUAUCUGAAAAUUCAGGACCUCUCUUGGUUUACCUUCAUAGUGGGAGAUUGACACUACUUAUUCAGAAAGAGACAGAGAACCCAGUGGAAAUCAGUGAAGGCACCAAUCUCCACGAUGGGCUUUGGCAUUCUGUUAACAUCAAUGCCAGAAGACAUCGCAUCACCCUGACACUGGACAACAACGCUGCCAGUGCUAGCCAUGCAACCACAGUUGCAAGGAUUUACUCUGGAAACAGCUACUAUUUCGGAGGGUGCCCGGACAAUUUCACUGAUUCCCAAUGUUUAAAUUCCAUUACUGCUUUUCAAGGCUGUAUGAGGCUCAUCUUUAUUGAUAACCAGCCCAAGGACCUCAUUUUAGUUCAGCAAGGCUCCCUGGGGAAUUUUAGUGAUUUACACAUUGAUCUGUGUGGCAUCAAAGACAGGUGUUUACCCAACUACUGUGAACAUGGAGGAAAAUGCUCUCAGUCCUGGUCUACUUUUUACUGUGAUUGCAAUGAUACAGGCUACAUGGGAGCUACCUGUCAUAACUCUAUCUAUGAACAAUCUUGUGAGGCUUAUCGACACCAGGGGAAGACAUCUGGUUUCUUCUACAUCGAUUCUGAUGGAAGUGGACCCCUUGGACCACUCCGUGUUUUUUGCAAUAUAACAGAAGAUAAGAUCUGGACUGCAGUGCAGCACAACAACACAGGGCUAACCAGAGUCCAAGGAGUUGAUCCAGAGAAGCCGUACACCGUGUCCUUUAACUACAACAGCAGUGCAGAGCAGCUUGAAGCCAUGAUAAACAGUGCAGAGUACUGCGAACAGGAGGCAGCCUACCACUGCAAAAAGUCACGUCUCCUAAACACCCCGAAUGGAAUGCCAUUUGCUUGGUGGGUUGGCCGUGCCAAUGAAAAGCAUCUUUACUGGGGAGGAUCUCUUCCGGGCAUUCAGCAGUGUGCAUGUGGACUGGAAGAAAGUUGUCUGGAUAUGAGAUAUUUUUGCAACUGUGACGCAGAUAGAGAAGAAUGGACAAAUGAUACCGGCCUCCUUACUUACAAAGACCAUUUGCCUGUAUCUCAGAUAGUGGUCACUGACACAAACAGAUCAAAUUCUGAGGCUGCCUGGAAAAUCGGCCCUUUGCGUUGCUAUGGAGACAGGCAGUUCUGGAAUGCCGCAUCCUUCAACACUGAAGCCUCCUACCUGCAUUUCCCCACCUUCCAUGCCGAGGUCAGCGCGGACAUCUCCUUCUUCUUCAAAACUACUGCUGUCUCCGGGGUAUUCUUGGAAAACCUUGGGAUUAAAGACUUCAUACGAGUUGAAAUAAGCUCCCCCAAAGAGAUCACGUUCUCCGUAGAUGUUGGGAAUGGCCCCACAGAAGCCACUGUACAGUCUCCCACACCCCUGAAUGACAACCAGUGGCACUAUGUCCGAGCAGAGAGGAACCUCAAGCAAACAUCUCUCCAAGUGGACAACCUCCCCAAGAAAGUCCUGGAGGCACCUGCUGAGGGGCACUUCCGCUUGCAGCUUAACAGCCAGUUAUUUGUAGGUGGAACAGCUUCCAGACAAAAGGGCUUUUUGGGAUGCAUUCGCUCUCUGCAUUUAAAUGGACAGAAACUUGACCUUGAAGAGAGAGCUAAAAUGACACCUGGUGUUAAACCUGGAUGUCCAGGACAUUGCAGCAGUUAUGGUAACCUGUGCCAUAAUGGAGGAAAAUGUGUGGAGAAAUAUAAUGGUUACUCUUGUGAUUGUACCAACUCAGCCUAUGAAGGACCAUUUUGCAAGGAAGAGGUUUCUGCGUUAUUUGAAGCCGGCACUUCCAUUACCUAUGUUUUCCAAGAACCUUAUCCUGUCACAAAAAAUGCAAGCACUUCAAGCUCUGCCAUUUAUGCCGAUGCUGUCAUGUCCAAGGAAAAUAUUGCAUUUAGCUUUCUCACGGCACAUACUCCAAGCCUUCUGCUGUACAUUAACACCUACUUUCAUGAAUAUUUGGCUGUGAUUCUCUCCAAGAAUGGAAGUUUACAGGUUCGAUACAAGCUGAGUAAGGAUGGGCUCCUUAUUUUCACCAUUGACUCUGGAAAUUUUGCCAACCGACAGCUGCAUCAUGUGAAGAUUAACAGAGAAGGCAGAGAGCUCAUCAUUCAGGUUGAUCAAGUUCUCAAACUCAAACACAACUUCUCUGAAAUUGAUUUCAAGGCCAUCAAAUCGCUCACCUUGGGCAAGGUCACAGAUAGUUUGUCACUGGACCCCGAAGUCGCAAAGGCAAAUGCCUAUGGUUUCACUGGUUGUCUGUCCUCUGUUCAGUACAACCACAUUGCUCCCUUGAAAGCUGCCUUACGCCAUCCCAGUAUUGCUCCCGUGACUGUCAAAGGCUCCUUGUCCGAAUCCAGCUGUGCAUCCAUAAUGGAAGCUGAUGUGAACACAGUAACCACAAUAUAUUCCUCAUCAGAUCCUUUUGGGAAGACAGAUGAAAGGGAGCCUCUCAGCAAUGCAGUCAGAAGCGAUUCAGCUGUAAUUGGAGGUGUAAUAGCAGUUGUGAUAUUCAUCAUCUUUUGCAUCAUUGCCAUCAUGAGCAGAUUCCUCUAUCAGCACAAACAAGCACAUCGAAAUAGUCAGACAAAGGAGAAGGAAUACCCAGAAAAUCUCGAGAGCUCCUUUAAAGCUGACAUUGACUUGCAGAACACAGUGAGCGAGUGCAAGCGGGAAUAUUUCAUAUGAUGGACAAUGCAAUUUCUUCUUACUCUAACUCUCCUAACCUUACUUCCUUUCUUCCUUCCUUUUUGCUUUUUGUAAAUUUUUUUAAAACAUUCAUUUUUUGCUAACUUCCUUUUCAUUUGGAAAUGACCGCCCUUCACAGGAAACAACUGACAAAAAUCACAGUGCCUCAUUCUCUGCACAAGAACCUGGCAGUCACAGAUUACUUCUGCAGUUCAAGAAACCUGUUAUCCCACCUUACACACAAUAAGAUCCACAUGCACACCUGGUGUCUGCUAAAGCAGCACUUUGCAAAAGACGAGCUGAGACCUUGUGAGGCUUAUUCUAAGACAACUGCUAUUUCAAAGCUUUCAUGUAUUUAUCAAACAAGCCAAGUGAUACAGUUACAUCCCUGGCAAACCAAGGGCCUUACCCUGAGUCUUUUGAGGUUGGUGGGAGGCCUCUUGGUUUAAUACAGUUAGAGUCGCUCCAUGCUCUUGGGAAGUUCGGGGGUUUUCUUCACAAGUUACUUUCUUCACAGCUUCAAAGCAUGAUUUGUUUCUUUUGGGUCUACGCUUUCCUGCACUUUCUUUUCCAAUGAAAAUUUCUCUGCAUCCCCUUUUGGUACGGGCAGCCCGCUCCUCAGUGCUCCUUUUGUACAUGAAACUUCAAAACACACACUCUUCUUUUGGGUCUGAAACAGCUGUUUUCUUUUGUUAUUUAUUUUGAGUCAUGCAUAUAGGGGUUUGGAUAUUUCUAUGUGUUGGUAUUUAUUUUUGUGACCUUUUGCACUAAGUUACUCUGACAAAAACAAAAACUGGAAAAAAGCACACUUUCUGGUGAACUAUUGUAAUUUGUAAGCUCGUUGUUUGUUGUUUGUAACGUACUGAGUCUACAAGCCGAGCUAAGGAAGGAUUAAGGCGACAGUUUGUGUUGACAGUGUCACUCCAUAUCUAGUUCACCUCUGUUUCCUUUUUCUCUCCUUUUUUUCUUUAAUACAUGGGUCUAUAAAAUUGUUGGUAGGAGGCAGAGGAACUUGUGUCAUGAUUCUAACUAAGAUUAUGAUUUUUCUCCUAGAAGUGAUAGAAACUAGAAAUUUGAAGAAAUCACAUGAUUCUCAAAUUGUCAGCCAGGUGUUCAGCCAGAGCAGAAACUGUACCAUGGAGAUGUAGUCACCAAGAGGUGGUAACCUGUAAAAGGUGUGGAGACAUUAAUUCUCCAAAUUAAAACUGUGAUGAAGCAGUACAGGAGGCAAAAGCUCUCAGAAUGGUUAUGCUAUUGAAACCAUGCAUGGUAACCAUCAGGUGAACAUGAGAGUUUCAGGUCUUUUCCCAUGAUUCAUUUUUGUGAUGGAAUGAAUCACUCAUUAGCCUGCCAACACAUAGUCUUAAUUGUCCUGAUGAUCUGCAAAGUAUCAUUAGAGAUGUGGUUCAACCAUGAGAGAAGAUUUCAAACCUCUGGCUGGUACUAACCUGAAUUUCUCCAGUUAGACCACUGGAGCUCUCCCUGAUACCCCAAAGAUGAAUUGGGGAUGAUUUCCUCAAACAAUUUAGAAUUAAUGAAAUGUUGGGUAGGUACAUUUCCGAAGAAUGGUGUUUGUUUAAAGACUCUCCUUUCCCCAUCCCUUCCUCACUUAGAAUGCUUGUGGCAGCUUAUUUCUGAACUACUGACUGCUUCUUCAUAUGACAGUCAUCACUAUCCAUGGAUUUCAAUCCCACAACCCUAAGGAGAGUCUGUCUGAUAUGAUUUCUAUGCAGGAAAUAAUUUACUCACUUUUGCAUGCCAUACCCUUUACGGUUCCUUCUUACAUCAUUUAGGCAAACCAUUUUCUGAUGUGUUUUGUCAUUGCUGCCACUGCUGAGCAUGCAUAUUGUUAAGAAAGAAAACUGAUUGCUUCUGAGGUAGAGUUUAAGCAAAACCAGCUGCAGCCUCAUAUCCCACUUGCAGCACAGUGGAGUACUCUGAAACCCAAGCCCACUCCCUGAAAUUUCAGGUAGAGGUUUGGAGAGUAAGCAGGUAUGUGUUUUUUCAGGCAUCUGGACUUACCUACUCUGUAACAGACCGUUAUAUCUAAAAGACAGUGCAGAGCUGACCUGCUUUGAAACUCAUUUUGUGAAAGAAACAGAGCCAGCUUCAGACCUCCUCGUAAUCCUGUUGAGGUCACUGUAGACAGAUUGCAGAUGAAUUUAGCCUCAGAUUGCCCUAGACAAGGGCAGUGAUGAUCUCCUGCAAACUGAGGCUGACAGAUAUGAAUUCAAGUCAGGACCUUGUAUUUGUCAUCCCCUACUGCUGUCAACAGGAGUUGCAUUCACUGCAAUUAUGUGUGUCUUCUAGCAGAACCGUGGAUAAAACUUGGGAUAAGGCAAUGAACUUCAGCUCCACUUAAACCCAUGACAUGGCUUAAGUCACCUUCAGGAGUUUCUGGAGAUGUUUGUAGGGAGAAGGGUGGUCUGUGGAUGGUGUGUUGUCAACUAACUUUGGAGCUCACCCACGGACUUUGAAAGGAUUUUAUAGGCUUUUAAUGGAGUCCACCCCAGGAAGAAUGUGGUGAACUGUGUCCUACUUGAAAAAUGAAGGUACCCUAAAGAGAAAAAAACCCUAAACCACCAGCUUCACAGGCUCUGAAAGCUAGCUGAGAUUAAACACUUAUAAUAAUAAAAAAUUGACUCUUUCUACAGUUGAGCCCUUCAUCAUUCAUUUUACUUUGUUCUACUCAAAUUAUAUUAAAUAAAUCUCCCAGAACGCUGCUCAUUUCAGUAGCAAAGCAAGAAAAAAAAAGCUUGUUUUCUUUUAAUCGUCUGUCCAAGGGUAAUGCAAGAGUCUCUCAGUUACAGUAAAAAGCAAAUCAGAGAUUUAGAUUAUUCCUCUUUCACUCUCUGGUUUUCUAAAGAGAAUGCCACAGGACGUUGCCUCAGUCCAAGUCAGUUUUGUAGACAAUGUAUCAUGUCUUAAUACACUGUUCGGGGACUGAAAAAAAUUAGCCUUAGCUUCUUUUGUUUUCUAUGGUUACUGUUGUACAGAAGAAAAACUUAAACUGUAAAUAAUGUAUAUUUAAUAAAAAGAGACUUUUUGUAUGA